This 609-nucleotide ribosomal RNA is filed under the name Phytomonas serpens. RNAcentral describes it as "partial 9S small subunit ribosomal RNA". It matches the Rfam family "Trypanosomatid mitochondrial small subunit ribosomal RNA". The record is from RNAcentral. Lineage: Eukaryota; Euglenozoa; Kinetoplastea; Trypanosomatida; Trypanosomatidae.
UAGUCAACUGUUAUUAUUCAUACUAAUUUUUUUAAAUGUUUUUUAUUUUAAUAAUAGUUUAUUUAUAGAUCAUAAAUAUAAAAUAAAGUUUAGGAAUAGUUAAUAAUAAUUUAUAAUUUUGAUUAGAUUAAUUUGUUAAUGCUAUUAUAUGGGUGUGGAAAAUAUGAAAAAUAAAUAAUAUAAUAAAAUAAUAAAUAAAAUUUAAUUAUAGGUCAGAAAUGGAUGCCAGCCGUUGCGGUAAUUUCUAUGCUUUUAAAUAUUAUACAAUAAUACUUAUGAUAUUGUUAACAUACAUUAUAACAAACAAAAAUAAAUUCAACAAUAUUUUUUGUUUUUAUACACCAUACAGGUAUAUGCAAAUACUAAAUUAUAGUAAUUAUUUAUUUUAUUAUUAUUUGUUUAUUCACAUAAGUAACAAAACAAUAAUUAUAUUUUUUGAUUUCAUGAUAAGGCGUGUGAAUGGUAUUGAAAAUAUUUUAAUCAAAACUUACAAAUUAUAUGUACUUAGUAAAAUUAGUUAAAAAAAAAAUAUGUCUAGGUAUUGUUGCCCACCAAUUUUUAAAAUGAAGAUAACGUGCAGUAAUUAAAUUAUUUAUAAAAAUAAUUUUA